Molecule: ribosomal RNA, 494 nt
Filed under: uncultured bacterium
Lineage: Bacteria
Description: partial 16S ribosomal RNA
Rfam family: Bacterial small subunit ribosomal RNA
Source: RNAcentral
GACGAACGCUGGCGGCGUGCUUAACACAUGCAAGUCGAACGGUGAAGCGCCUUCCUUUUUGGUGGGUGUGGAUGGGUGGCCAACUGGGGAAUAACACGAUAGUAACCUUCUCCCUCUUUCUGGAUAACCGCAUGAAAGUGUGGAUAAUACGGGAUAUUCUGAGCCUGUCGGUUGAUGGGUCUGGGAAAGUUUUGGUUUCGGUUGGGGAUGGGCUCGCGGUCUAUCAGCUUGUUGGUGGGGUGAUGGCCUACCAAGGCGGUGACGAGUAGCCGGCCUGAGAGGGUGGACGGUCACACUGGGAAUGCGACGCGGCCCAGACUCCUACAGGAGGCAGCAGGGAGGAUUAUUGCACGGUGGGCGGAAGCCUGAUGCAGCGCCGCCGCGGGAGGGAUGGAGGCCUGCGGGUUGUGAACCUCUUUCGGGAGUGAAGCAGGCCUGCCUCAUUUGUGGGUGGGUUGACGGUAGCUGGACAAGAAGCGCCGGCUAACUACGUG